GCCUGGUAGGGCGCAAGCCUGGAAGAAUGUAAGCACUGAAAGCUUGUGACCUGUGAAGGUCUCGAGGGUUCAAAUCCCUCUCCCGGCG
This 88-nucleotide transfer RNA is filed under the name Nitrososphaerota archaeon. Its description in RNAcentral is "Thaumarchaeota archaeon tRNA-Ser". The record is from RNAcentral. Lineage: Archaea; Thermoproteati; Nitrososphaerota.